This 2863-nucleotide long non-coding RNA is filed under the name Glycine max (soybean). RNAcentral's name for it is "long non-coding RNA (GMAX_LNC002996)". The record is from RNAcentral. Lineage: Eukaryota; Viridiplantae; Streptophyta; Magnoliopsida; Fabales; Fabaceae.
CAGGAACUUAUGCUGGAGAUGGCUCAAGGCAGCCUAGUGAAUUGGAAUUGGCUCAAGCUUUCCAUCAGGGAAAGUACUUUGCGGGCAUUGCAAAGAAGCUCAAGGGAUCUCAAUGAUUUUUAUCCUCCAUAUAUCUCCCACACCAUAUUCUGUGUCAAAUAAAAUGAGAUGUUAGAAGCAAAAAUAAAAUAAAAGUGUGAGAGAAUAAAGUAAUACUUCAUAUAUCUUCGAUACAAUUGUUGUCACCACUUGUCAUCGUCGUAUCCUGUAAUGCAGUUUUUAUUGUCAAUAACAAGAAUUUGGUAAUUAAUACUGGAAACUCGGUGCUAAUAAAAUUGAUCACUAUCAGCCAUCUAACUAAUGUGUGCUUUGUGUUAAAUUGAUCACUAUCAGGUCAAGGAUUUGAAUUUAUAGAUAGGUACUGUUUAGUAUUUUUGUAUAUUAUAUAGUUAAAGAGGAGAAUGCGUACAGGAUAUAAGGGGUACCAUCCCUUACAAGUUUGUUGCUGCAUAAAAACAUGUAUGCCUCUACAACAGAAUCUGCUAUCGCAAAAUAAAACACUAAACUAUAUAUAUUCCCGUACCAGUUAAUUCCCACCUAUCUAUGUACCCAACACAUCAAUAGUAUAGCAUGUGUUUUACAAAAAAUCUCCCCAUCAACCUAGCAUUAACAAAAUCUCCUCCACGGUUUUGUUUCUGUCAAGACUACCUCCUCUAAAAAUACAUGCACCUAGCUUGUGUUGUUUGCUUUGAUCCCCCAAUAAGACUAUGUUGCUAGAAAUGAGCUUGUGGAUUUUCUGGUAGCACUGUCGUGAGUUGCAGCCAGGAAUAACAAUCAAACCACAUUUGUGUCACCUUAGAGCAAGAAAAGAACAUGAGCCACUGUUUAGGCUUCUUCUUGUUGACAAAUAAGGACACAACCAACUAUUGCUAUGCAACUGAAUGUUUCUUUUCUUGAGAUUAUAGUUGGCAACCUUUCUAUACAUUACAUAGUUUCCAUAUGAAGAUGACAAUGUUUUGAAGAAUAAACAAUUUCCACAUUACCGAAAAAAUGUGAUAGCUUUGAUGAGUAUCCAGAUGUAAGCUGUAUAAAGCCUUAUAUGCUCAGUUAACCGAGUAUUCUUCAGAGCUUUCUAUUUGUCUUCCCUAUCUAACUUUGGCUAGACAUUCCUCAGCAUAUUAUUCAUAUUUUCAACCAAAUCUUCUUCCCACUGAAAUCUCGUCCUCCUCCACUUAAAUUCCCAAAUCCAAUCCUCACCAACCCAUUUUUUCCCACUUUUCCAACUACCUCAUUCUGCUGUUCUGAUAUCAUGUUUUGCAAAGCUCUCUUCAUGUAACCAAUUGUCUUGCCAAAAUCUUAUAUGACUUUCCACACCUAAAUCUCAUGUUACCAUUUAAUGGCUCUCUUACUUUUAUAUUUUUUCAUAAAUUUUAAUCAACAGUAAAAUGUGUAUUAGAGUUUAGAGAUCAAGUGUGCUGCUAGCAUUCCUUAUAUUCUUAUACCCAAUCCCAUUAUUUAACGAUGAAAAACACAACUAUCAACUAAUAAAAUUGUUGUAUGUACAAGGACUUUUUCCAAAGAACGUAAAAUGUUUUGAAUAAUUAAUUUUAUAAAUAAAUUUUUUAUUUAUGCAUUAAUUUUUAUUUCAUAGUAGUAACAAACUAUUAUUUUAAUGGUGAUAAAAAUUCUAUUUAACCACGUUUUAAGUUUUUAUAUUUUUUAAAUAAUUAAUACCUAUAUACAUUACAUGGGAUGAUGGGAUGAGAUAUAAAUAUAUUAUUUUAAAAUUUAAUUAUAUUUUAUAGCAUAUUAUUUUUUCUAUAUGUUAAGAAUAAAGAAGAAGAAAACCCAACAUUAGAGGAUAGCUAGGACACUAGUUCAAGAGCAAAAGACAGAUUUUUUUAUCCACAAAGUAUGUUAUAAUGGUGCAAUAGUAUAAGAAAUUAUAAAUCAUUGUGAAACUAAUGGAGAACAUGGACGUGAUUUUAGCUACUAACCGUUUGUAUGACGUAAGUUUGAGGAUUGACCAUUUGACCCACCAAUUAUGCAUCAGCCACCAUCGUCUUGGACAGUUGGACUAAUCAAAAGUGAAACUCAAUAAAAAAAAUGAUAAUAGUAAUAAUUGACAAAAGACAAUAAUGAUUAAAUAAAUAAGUUACUACAUAAUUAUUUUCUUAAAAGAAAUUAUUGCAUAAUUACAAAGUAGAAAAAUUCCUACGUAUGUUCUUGAUGAAACAUUUUUUCUCUUUUUUGUCCUGUUCUUUUAUUUUUGAUAAUUUCUGUAUGAAAAAUCCUUAAAAGCAUAUUUUUUAACAGAAUUCAUUAAGAUUGGCCAAGAAAGGCUCAAAGAUGAAAACAACUAUCCAAAAGUGUGGCGGCCCAGCAGUACACAACAAAAAAUCUGUGAUAGCAAAUGUAAUUUUGGGAACAAUACGACUAAUUAAAUGGCUCUCUUAUAAUAAUAAUAAAGUUAUCACAUAAUUGAGGGAGACAAGGCCGGCCUAGGCAUAAGGCUUCUUAACCAUUAGGCGGUCUAAAUUUUUAUUUUAACCCUCUCAACAAAAAACAUGAAUAGUUAUUGAAAAUCCAAACAUGACAUUAAGGAGUGUCAAAGUUUGCAACGGAAGUACCAAGUGCAUGUAACAACCCCAACUAAAUCACUAUAAAAAUAUUAUCAUUAACUUUAAAAAAAUCUCACCACUUUUUAAAUCUAAAAAAAUGGUGAAAGGUGACACUAUAAGUAUAGGUACCUUGUCAAGUGUCAUUCAUCAACACCUUUUGGUUUCCACGGAUAUUUGGAGACAACACAGGGCAAUAUAGGUUACUAAUAAUGGUUACCAAGGUUUACAUUGUGUAAGACAUU